CGGCCGCUCAGAGCGCUCCAGGCUGGGUUCCCGGGCCCCGCCGCGCCGCCUCCUUCCCAGCUCGCCCGCCCAGGCCUGGCCUCCUGCUUUUCCAUUUGAUUCCCUGCCUCUUUCUAUUCGGACUGGAAUGCCGGGCCAGGCUCCGGGGCGCGCCGCUGCGGCAGCCGCACCUCGCAGGUCCCCCGGCCGACCCCGACGCGGAAGCGGCGGCCCUCCUCGCCGUCGGGGAGCCAGGGAGCCGGGGACGAUCAGUCACAUAAGGCUUAGAGGAUCAAGGAUCCUGCCCAGAUGACUUACCGAAAUGUUACAGAUUAAGUUGGUGUGGUAACCUGGGCUGAGCACUCUGGGAGAGGAAGAGAAGAGAGAAGACAGGAAACAACUGAACUAUGACCAAUCCCAGCACGGAGGCCCAGAAAACUUUAAGAUUUGAGUAUUAAUGUCUCAAGGUCAGGAGCAACCUCAAGGCUAAAACUCAGAUCUCAGGACUCAAUUUCACAGAAGUUCCACUAUAAAGGCAAUAAUCUAAAGCUUUAAAUGAUAUGAAAAUUUUGUAAUAAGAGUUCAGUAUUUCUGCCAACAUUGGCGCAUGGAUUGCAAAGUUCACAGGAUUGAAAACACCAUCGACAUAAUGGAAAUUGAACAGCAUCUGAUUACUGAGUGCUAUAUCAGCAAGUUAAAAGGAUCUUUUGCAUACCUUUUAAUGGUAUAUAUCCUAAAACUGAAGUGUUCAAUAUAGACAUCCAGAUUGAAACUCAGGCAGUGAAUUACAUACACAACAAAUCAGUUGAACAUGGCAGAGCUUGUCAGACUUAUGAAAGAUUAAAUACAUUUUACAUUUCCACAAGUGUGGUAUUCACAGGUCUAAAUUGGAAAAUUCUUGGGUUGAAGAAGAAUAAUCAUAAUCUUAGCUUCACUCAUUGAGGAAACAUUAUUCAGGGAUGAUAAGAGGUAAAAUCUUAAAAAUAUUGACAAGCUAAUGAGAGAACUUUGAGGUAAGCUGAUAUGCAGGUAUAGUUAGGACUGGGAAAAGCAAGAAAAUGGAAGGAUGGGUUAGAGGGUGGCACUACACGGCUGAUAUAGUUUGGAUAUCUGUCCCCAUCCAAAUCUCAUGUUAAAUUGGAAUCCCCAAUUCUGGAGGCAGAGCUAGAAGGCAGAGCCUGGUGGAAGGUGUUUGCAACAUGAGGAAGGAUCCCUCAUGGCUUGGUGCUGUCUUAACAAUAAUGAGUGAGUUCUCCCGAGAUCUAGUCAUUUAAAAGGGUGUGGCACCUCCCCCCCCCCCCGCCCCCGCCAACUCUCUCUUGCUCCUACUCUGCCAUAUGAAUGUUUGUUCCCCCUUUGCCUUCAGCCAUGAUUAGAAGCUUCAUUAGGACUCCUCAGAAGUAGAUGUUGGUGCCAUACUUCCUGUAUAGCCUGUAGUACCAUGAACCUCUUCGCUUUAUAAAUUACCUGGUCUUGGGGAUUUCUUUAUAGCAAUGCAAGAAUGACCUAAUACAGAAAACUGGUACUGAGAAGUGAGUCAUUGCUGUAGAGAUACCUGAAAAUGUGGAAGCAGCUUUGGAACUUGGUGACAGGCAGAAGUUGGAAGAGUUUGUAGGGCUCAGAAGAAGACAGAAAGAUGAGGGAAAGUUUGGAAUUUCUUAGGGACUGGUUAAAUGGUUGUGACCAAAAUGCUGAUAGCUAGGACAUGAACAGAAUGCACCCAAGCACUUUGCUAAGGCAAAACAUGCGUGACCUUUGCUCUAGUUCCCAAUAAUUUCCUUAUUUCCAUUCGAGACCUCAGAAGCCUGGACUUCAAACCAAAAUGCUGAUAGUGAUGUGAACAGUGAAGUCCAGGCUGCUGAGGCCUCAGAUGGAAAUUAGGAACUUACUGGGAACUAGAGCAAAGGUCACACAAUGUUAACGCCUUAGCAAAGAGCUUAGCUGCCUUCUGUUCAUGCCCUAGGAAUCUGUGGAAGUUUGAACUUGAGAGUGAUGAUUUAGGGUAUCUGGCAGAAGAAAUGUCUAAGCAGCAAAGUGAUCAAGAAGUGGUGUGGCUGCUUCUAGCCACUUAUAUUCAGAUGUGGGAGCAAAGACAAAAGGUAGAACUUAUAUUUAAAAGGGAAGCAGAGCAAAAAAAGUUUGGAAAAUUUGCAGCCUGGCCAUGUGGCAGAGAAAGAAAAAAGCUUUUUCAGUAGAGGAAUUCAAGCAGACUGUGGAACAAUUACUUGCUAGAGAUGUUUGCAGGAUUAAAGGGGAGCCAAGUGCUACUAUCCAAGACAAUAGGGAAAAAGCCUUGAAAGCAUUUCAAAGAACUUCAGAGUGGCUUCUCCCAUCACAGGCCCAGAAGCUUAGGAGGAGAGAAUAGAUUCAUGGACUGGGCCCAGGGCCAUGGUACCUUGCACAGCCUUGGGACACUGCUCACCACAUCCUAGCUGCUCCUGUUCCCACUCUUGCCAUGGCUCAAAGGGGCCUACAUACAGCUUGGACUGCCACUUUGGAGAAUGCAAACAGUAAACCUUGGUAGCUUUCAUGUGGUGUUAAGCCUGCAGGCACACAAAGUGCAAGAAUCGUGGAUUCUUGGCAGCCUCUGCCUAGAUUUCAGAGGACAUAUGGAAAAGUCUGUUUGUCCAGGCAGAAGCCUGUUACAGGGGUGGAGCCCUUACAAAGAACCUCUACUAGGGCAGUAUAGAGGGGAAAUGUGGGGUUGGAGGCUCCAACAGGGUCACCGCUGGGGCACUGCCUAAUGGAACUAUACGAAGUGGGCCACUGCCCUCCAGACCUAAGGAUGAUAGAUCUACCAGCAGCUUGUAUUCUGCACCUGGAAAAGCCACAGGCACUCAACUGCAGCCCAUGAGCGCAGCCUUGGAUUCUUUACCCUGCAAAGCCAUAGGGGCAGGACUGCUCAAGGCCUGGGGAGCCCACCCCUUGUACCAGUGUGGCCUGGAUGUGGAACAUGAUGUCGAAGAUUAUUUUGGAACUUUAAGAUUUAGUGACUUCCCUACUGGGUUUUGGAGCUGUGUGGAUCCUGUAGACCCUUUCUUUUGGCCAAUUUCCCCCUUUUUGGGAUGGAAACAUUUACCCAAUCCCUAUACCCCCAUUGUAUCUUGGAAGUAAAUAAUUUGUUUUUGAUUUUACAGGCUUAUAGGUGAAAGUGACUUCCCUUGUCUCCAAUGAGGCUUUGGACUUUGGACUUUUGAGUUAAUGCCAGAAUGAGUUAAGAUUUUGGGGGCCUAUUGGAAAGGCAUGAUUGUAGUUUGCAAUGUGAGAAGGACAUGAGAUUUGGAGAGGCCAGAGGUGGAAUGGUAUAGUUCAGAUAUUUGACCCAGCCCAAAUCUCUUGUUGAAUUGUAAUCCCCAAUGCUGGAGGUGGGGCCUUCCUUGUAUGAUGUGUUUGGAACAUGCAGGCAAAUUCCUCAUGGCUUGGUGCUGUUUUCAUGAUAGUGAGUGAGUUCUCCUGAGAUGUGGUCAUUUAAAAGUGUAUGGCACCUCCCCCCACUCUCUAUCUCUCUUGCUCCUGCUCUGCUAUAUGAGACACCUGUUCCCCGUUUGCCUUCCACCAUGAUUGAAAGCUUUGUGAGACCUCCUCAGAAGCCAAGCAGAUGCCAGUGCCAUGCUGCCUGUAUAGCCUGCAGAACCACAAGCCAAGUAAACCUCUUUUCUUUAUAAAUUACUUAGUCUCAGAUAUUUCUUUACAGCAAUGUAAGAAUGGCCUAAUACAAUAGCCUAAACUAAUUUGAGGGAGGUGAUGUGUCUCUUGCUACACAAAGUAUGGUUCAUGGACUAACAGCAUUGGCGUCACCAGGAGGUUGUCAGAAGUACAGACUUUCAGUUCCCUUCCCAGACCUAAUAAAUCAGACUCUCCAAAAAGUUUUGGGAGCACUGCUCCAGCCAAUGACUUGUGGUAGAAUUCUGUUUUUGCCUCAACAGCAUCCAUUCUCCUUUCAGUAACAACUCCUAGCUUCUACUUUGGGGAACUUUCCAUCUCCCACACUCAGACCUAGGGUUCAGAUGUGGCUAACCUAGCCCUGUGCAGCCAGAGGAAGGCACAUGAUCCAGGCCUGGCCAAUGACAGUGCCUUAUGACCCAGCCAGAGUGACUGGUUCAGCAAAGAGGGUGUAAUAUGAGCUGAGCCAAUGAGACUUAGUCCUGGUACUUUUGGGAAAGAAAUGCUCCCCUUCCUGAGUUUGCUGAGCUGAUAAGAUAUUCAUCUACAGCAGCCAUCUUUCCACUACCUGAGAAUGAAGCCAACAUAGGAAAAUGGAGCUGAGAAAUGAGAGAGAUCCUAACAAAUUCAUUUAUCCACUCACUACCGGAUCUAAAUCCUGGGCUUUUUAGUAACUCAAGCCAGUAUAGUCUUCAUUUCUUUGGCCAGUUCAAACUGGAUGUCUACUAGUUACAACUGAAAGAAUCCUAAUACAUCAGUCUCUUCCUGUCCCUGAAAUUCAUUAGGCUCAUUUUGAAUCUUUGAUAUUUCCUUUUCCUCUCUUCUUUGUCUGUGUUUAAUCCAUUUUGCAUUGCUGUAAAGGAAUACCUGAGACUCGGUAAUUUAUAAAGAAAAGAGAUUUAUUUGGCGCACAGUUCUGCAGGCUACACAAGCAUGGCACCAGCAUCUGCUCAGCUUCUGGUGAGGCCACAAGAAGCUUUAACUCAUGGCGGAAGGCGGAGGGAGAGCAGGUGUGUCAUAUGGCGAGAGAGGGAGCAAGAGAGAGGGGAGGGAGACUUCUCUUUUUUUGGCAAUCAGAUCUCGUGGUAACUAAUAAAGCAAAAAUUAAUUCAUUACUGUGGCAAGGACACCAAGCCAUUCCAAAAAGAUUCACCCCCAUGACCCAAACACCUCCCACCAGGUCCCACCUCCAGUGUUGGAGAUCGCAUGGGAGACAAAUAUCCAAACUAUAUCACUCCUCUCUAAACCAGUUUAGAGGGUUCAAACUUUGCCUUCUCCAGAUUUGCCUCUUCCCUGAGACCUUCCCUGAUAGCUUCCCACACAUACUGCUCUCCCCAGUCCAUCAAUGAAUUCCUGCAUCCAGGUGGCUAAUGGUUCCAUACUUACCCUUCAGCUGUGACCAGUUUUGUGUCCACCUCUGUCUUCCUCCCUCUUUUUGCUUAGAUGACACCCACUCAACCUCUAGAUGUCCCCUGCUACAGGUGGGAUGCCCUUGUUAUAUGUUCUUAUAGCACCACCUGUCUUCCCUUCAUGGCACUUAUAUUUGUAAAUGUAUUCAUGCCAUAGAGUACUGCAUGAAGGCAGUCGAGUGGGUGGUUCAAACGUAGACCCUGGUGUCAGCCUGCCUGGACUAGCUAUAUGACCUUGGGCAAGUUUCUUAACCUCUCUAUACCUCAAUUUCCUUACUUAUCAGGUGAAGAUAUUAAGAGUACCUCCUCAGAGUGUGAUUUUGUUAAUUUAUGUAAAGUACUGAGAACAUGCCUGGCAUGUAAUAGGCACUGUAUAAGUGAUAUCUAUUAUUAUUGUACAUGGGAUUAUUUGAUGUCUGUAUCCCAUCCCCCAUCAGACAUGAAAAAAUAGGUCUGCUUUUGAUCACCAUUUUACACUUAAAGAAAAGGGUCAGGCUGGGCAUGGUGGCUCACACUUGUAAUUCCAGCCCUUUGGGAGGCUGAGGCAGGUGGAUUGCUUGAGCCUAGGAGGGAGGGAGGGAAAGAAAGGAAGAAAGAAAGAGAGAGAGGGGGAGAGAGAGAGAGAAAGAAAGAAAGAAAAGAAAUAAAAGAAAGAAAGAGGAAA
RNAcentral lists this long non-coding RNA (5715 nucleotides) under Homo sapiens (human). Its description in RNAcentral is "non-protein coding USP46-AS1:4". The record is from RNAcentral. Lineage: Eukaryota; Metazoa; Chordata; Mammalia; Primates; Hominidae.